RNAcentral lists this long non-coding RNA (1120 nucleotides) under Homo sapiens (human). Its description in RNAcentral is "HSALNT0314198". Lineage: Eukaryota; Metazoa; Chordata; Mammalia; Primates; Hominidae. The record is from RNAcentral.
GCCUACGCGCGCCCCUCCGGCGCUUGUCGCAGAGGCUGCCGGGAGACGUAGUCUUGUAACGCUCUCUCGCCGGACAUUCCUAAUGGUUAGCGCCCAGCCUGUGAAGAGUCGGGGGUCGGGGAGGGGGUCUCGCUAAGAAGGAGGUUUGCAGACCAUGGCAAAGGGUCUUGCUCUGUCACCCAGGCUGGAGUGCAGUUGCUCUAUCAUGACUCACUGCAGCCUCAAAUGCUUGGACUCGAGCAAUCCUUCAGGCUAAAAGGUUUAUGAAGACAUCUGUCUUGUCCGGCAUCAUAUCCUGGGACCCACAAAGUGACUGAAAUAUAUCUGGUGGUCAAUAUAUAUUUGCAUCUUUCAAUUUAGACCGGCCACAUUUCAAGUGCUCAAUAGCCGCAUGUAGCUAGCGGCUACAAUAUUGAACAGUGCAGCUCUGGAAAUUUAAAAGUGAGUAAGAUAUGAUCCCUAUUCUCAACAUUUCACAAAGGGAAGUCUCAUCAUGUAAACAGAUAAAAUAUAGUACAAUUUAUGUGGCAAGGUAAUAUUUUGAGAUAAAAAUCAAAGAUUUUCUUUCCCGGGAGUUUCUUCUUGCUCUUUGUUCUUCCACCUAUUGAGUCCUUGCUACUUCUUAUUAAGGGCGAAAAGGAUAAAGAUGAGAACAAAGUCUAUAUAUAAAUAUAUGUAUAGUUUUUUGAGAACUGCCUGCUGGGUGCAGUGGCUCACAUCUGUAAUCCCAGCACUUCGGGAGGCCGAGGCGGGUGGAUCACGAGGUCAGGAGUUCGAGACCAGCCUGGCCAACAUGGUGAAACCCCGUAUAACUGUAUGUAUAUAAUUGUAUGUAUCUAUAUGUUUGUGUUUACAAGUACAUAUAUAUAUAUGUAAUUAUUUUUAAUUCACAGAAGAGAGUAUGGUCUUGAAAUUCUGGCUUUCAGAGUUAGCUUUUCUGAGAGGAAAAGGGCUUUUUGAACCAAAAGCUAAAAACCAGAAGGAUUCAGAGCAUGGGUUGUUUUUUUUUAUUAUUUUAUUUUGUUUACCAUAAAUGACAGAGCAGAGAGUAAUACAAAAUAUUCUAAGAACAUUUUUCUCAUUUCAAGACAAAUGAAAGUUCUUUCUUCCAGCUGGUGGG